AACGGCUACCACAUCCAAGGAAGGCAGCAGGCACGCAAAUUACCCACUCCCGGCACGGGGAGGUAGUGACAAAAAAUAACGAUACGGGACUCUUAUGAGGCCCCGUAAUCGGAAUGAGUACACUUUAAAUCCUUUAACAAGGAUCCAUUGAAGGGCAAGUCUGGUGCCAGCAGCCGCGGUAAUUCCAGCUUCAAUAGCGUAUNNNNNNNNNNNNAUUGGUUCUGCGUGCUACGCUGUCGGUUCGCCGCCUGCCGGUGUAACUGGCAUGCCGUGGCAUGUCCUGCCGGUGGCGUGCGGGAGCCUUGUCAGGUGACGACCCGGGUUCGCUCGGUGCCGUAGGCCGGAGGUCCACCCCGUGCGCCUACUCUAUCCUACCUAGGUGCUCUUCACCGAGUGUCGAGGUAGGCCGGUACGUUUACUUUGAACAAAUUAGAGUGCUCAAAGCAGGCUGAAAUCUCUGCCUGAAUAGUGGUGCAUGGAAUAAUAAAACAGGACCUUGGUUCUAUUUUGUUGGUUCUUAGGAACACAAGGUAAUGAUCAAUACGGACAGGCGGGGGCAUUCGUAUUGCGACGUUAGACUUGGCAAAUGCUUUCGCNNNNNNNNNNUUGGACCGUCGCAAGACGCACAAGAGCGAAAGCAUUUGCCAAGUAUGUCUUGAUUGAUCAAGAACGAAAGUUAGAGGUUCGAAGGCGAUCAGAUACCGCCCUAGUUCUAACCAUAAACGAUGCCAGCCAGCGAUCCGCCGAUGUUCCUCCGAUGACUCGGCGGGGAGCUUCUUCCCGGGAAACCAAAGCUUUUGGGUUCCGGGGGAAGUAUGGUUGCAA
Molecule: ribosomal RNA, 825 nt
Filed under: Creontiades sp. WCW-2003
Lineage: Eukaryota; Metazoa; Arthropoda; Insecta; Hemiptera; Miridae
Description: partial 18S ribosomal RNA
Rfam family: Eukaryotic small subunit ribosomal RNA
Source: RNAcentral